UACGGAGGGUGCAAGCGUUGUUCGGAUUUACUGGGCGUAAGCGCGCGCAGGUGGAUGGACAAGUCGGAAGUGAAAUCUUGAGGCUCAACCUCGAGGCUGCUCCCGAAACUGUUCGUCUAGGGACUGGUAGAGGCUGGUAGAAUUCCCGGUGUAGCGGUGGAAUGCGUAGAGAUCGGGAAGAAUACCCGUGGCGAAGGCGGCCAGCUGGGCCAGGUCCGACACUGAGGCGCGAAAGCGUGGGGAGCGAACAGG
This 252-nucleotide ribosomal RNA is filed under the name uncultured bacterium. Its description in RNAcentral is "partial 16S ribosomal RNA". It matches the Rfam family "Bacterial small subunit ribosomal RNA", at positions 524 to 776 of the family's 1533-position model. The record is from RNAcentral.